AGACAUUUCCCUGGGACACUCUCAUGUUUAUGGAAUGAAUUGAGGUGCGGCACAGUCCGGAACUGAUUAGUGCAAGGGAGCCGAUAUCCCGGUGGUGGAUUUCAAGUUUUAGGAGGGGCACAGGUAACCGCCAAAGGGAGACAAAGCCGCCAAGGAGAAUGAAGAAUUUGCCAAGGAGGAAAAAGACAGAAGGGCAAUCUAUUGGGAGUGUGUCGGGGGCUGAGACAACAUCUAGGGAUCAAUGUUUUCACUGCAUGUAGGAGACGCAAGGUUCUUCAGGGACUUCCCCUGCUAGACUUUGGUUUGCGAAGUUCCAAGGAGAAGAUUUCAAUGAGCCCCCUGCACAAAACACUCUAAAGGGAGAAUGACAAAAGGGGUGACUUCUUCGUACUUUGCGUCUCUGUGAUAAGAAAGAUGGUGACAAGACUUUGCCUGCUGGUAGCUGCUGCCUGCUUUGCUGCAGAACUGGUACAAGGGUUCAUCUUUUUGCGCUACUGCACAGCCGCAACAAAAAAGAAGAAGCCAGAAGACGAUUGCUCUGUGAUGCUUGCUGGAAGACUCCUGGGACAGUUCUGAUAUGAGCCCUGGGCUUCAGAGGGCAUGUCUGAGAACACUUACCUGACUCUUACAAGGAGAUGGCUCCUUUUGGCUAUAUUUUGGGCCCUCUUGGACACUGAAUCACACCUUUUGGAUUAGCCAUUUUUGUGAUGUGUCUUCUAGCGGGUGCACGUAGUAUACAUGACAUGAUGGGGAAUGGUGCCAAGAAUAACCAUUAUACACAGAAUCUCCAAUUUGUUUCCAGGAUCUUUUCUUACCCAUCAUCCCCGUAGGACUUAAAAAGCUGAAUAGUCAAAGUCCUGAAAGGCUUCAUUUAUCUCGCUGGCCAUUUCAAGAGGGGGUCCUUUGGGCUGCGUCAGAUUCGCCGGCAGCACUCUGGUUUUGGAAUAUUAUCCUCAAGGUGAGGGCUCUGGGAUGUUUCCUCCUCAUUCUCUGCAACAUCGCUAUUGGGUUUAGUUAAUUGAGGUUGUUGUAGCUCUGGGUUUGCAGAUUCUGCCUCCUCAGCUUCUUCAGCUGCAGGCUGUUGUAUCUCCAGGUUGACAGAUUCUGCCUCCUCAGCUUCUUCAGCUGCAGGUAUAAAAGAACAGCUUUAUAUUUCCAUCUGCCUUACCUCAGUAUGCCGGUGCCGACAUGAGAUGCCACACACUUUGGCGCCCAUCUUGAAACUCCUGUACAAGAAAAGAAAGGGCUGUGGAACACGGGGGCAUUUGUGCCCUAACAAAACCGUGGAUUUGUGGGCGAUCCGGCCUAAACACUAGAAGUACAGAAGUAGAAUGCAGUUUCCAGAGAUAAUGGCGGAUCCCCUCAUGUGUUUUACAUACAAAAUUCUACAGACACAAAGCUAUCCUCUCCUGUCAGCAAGGAACACACAAUGGGAAGAAAUGCGGCGCUACGGUAUUCUUGGCACUGGCUGCGGCCCAAAUUCAAAGGAACCGUUUGAAAGUGAAAUUCUGAAGUGUUGCUAGCACUGAAGGAAACUGUCACAUCCGAUGUGUGAAGGUAAAGGCACAAGCACCACACAGCUUUUAUUCUCAGCCUGUGCCUCCUCGAAAUACACGCAGGCAAUUCCACUCACACAAAAUACAUCUCUCUCACUAUUUGUUAACUUCAUGCAUUUGAUAAAUUAAAUUGAGUGUUUUAUACUUAAAAAUCUUUAUUUUCCCCCUGAAAAAUUCUGAAUCUAAAAUUCUUAAAUAUAUGAACAUAUAUAUUUAGUAUAUAUAGGCCCUAAUGUGGGCUGA
This is a long non-coding RNA of Xenopus laevis (African clawed frog), 1799 nucleotides long. RefSeq lists it as uncharacterized. Lineage: Eukaryota; Metazoa; Chordata; Amphibia; Anura; Pipidae. The record is from RefSeq and is a predicted model, not a curated record. The transcript has 16 exons.